ACAAACUUGGUCAUUUAGAGGAAGUAAAAGUCGUAACAAGGUUUCCGUAGGUGAACCUGCGGAAGGAUCAUUAUCGAGUUUUGACUGGGUUGUAGCUGGCCUUCCGAGGCACGUGCACGCCCUGCUCAUCCACUCUACACCUGUGCACUUACUGUGGGUUUACCGGUCGCGAAACGGGCUCGUUUAUUCGGGCUUGUGGAGCGCACUUGUUGCCUGCGUUUAUCACAAACUCCAUUAAAGUAUUAGAAUGUGUAUUGCGAUGUAACGCAUCUAUAUACAACUUUCAGCAACGGAUCUCUUGGCUCUCGCAUCGAUGAAGAACGCAGC
This 327-nucleotide unclassified non-coding RNA is filed under the name uncultured fungus. RNAcentral describes it as "partial contains small subunit ribosomal RNA, internal transcribed spacer 1, and 5.8S ribosomal RNA". The stretch from base 1 to 73 matches the Rfam family "Eukaryotic small subunit ribosomal RNA", at positions 1759 to 1831 of the family's 1831-position model. Lineage: Eukaryota; Fungi. The record is from RNAcentral.